Caerostris darwini is the source of this 101-nucleotide non-coding RNA. NCBI's taxonomy places the organism in Eukaryota, Metazoa, Arthropoda, Arachnida, Araneae, Araneidae. The record is from the annotation of a GenBank genome assembly.
ACGGCCGUACCAUGCUGAAUAUACCGGUUCUCGUUAGAUCACCGAAGUCAAGCAUCAUUGGGCGCGGUCAGUACUUGGGUGAGUGACCACCAGGGAACACC